Molecule: long non-coding RNA, 471 nt
Organism: Rhincodon typus (whale shark)
Lineage: Eukaryota; Metazoa; Chordata; Chondrichthyes; Orectolobiformes; Rhincodontidae
Exons: 4
Source: RefSeq, a predicted model, not a curated record
CUGUGAUUCACUGGAGUACUGCAGCAUGCCUAGGACAGACACGUGGGCAUGUGGGCUUGGAUGGAAUAUCUGAUGUGAAGUGGGAUGAAUAUUGUGCUUUGACUAUGUUGGACUGUCACUUUGAGUACAACCAUGGGGCCUCCAUUACAAUAUUAUCUGCCAUUGGAGGGAAAAACCACAGUCUAAGCACACUGCUUUGUUGAAUUUCAAACGCGCCUGAAGUUGUCAAAGGACCACAGAACACUGAGUAUGCGUCACGCUAGAUUCCAAUCGAGGAGUUGAAGGGAUUUAUAUACAGAAUGGCUGAAAACUGCUUCCUGGAAGGGAAAAUGAACUGAUAUGUAUGCUUUGUGUGAAUCUUACAUACAAUGGAUGUCAAAUCUAACCAGGAUGAGACUGUCUCUGCCUUGGAAUGAAGGAGCAGCUGUGCUCACACUGGAGAAGAGUCACUCUCCUUCUGUCUUGUGCUGC